GACCUGUUCCUCCACAGACGUGAGGGAAUAUAAUUCAGAGUAGCAGAGUUUAUAAAUGCUGGGACCCCUGCUAGGGCAUAGGAGCUUCCCAGGGGAACGAAAUUUUGAAGACGUGACCAGAGCAGGAAGCUACUGUAUGUUUUCGACCAAGAACGGAUAAAUUUGUGAAGUACUGACAGGACAGUGGGCUGGUGGUAGUUCCCUUAAAGCUGCUAACCCCGAUCUUCAGUUAAUGAGGUUGGUUUGGAGAUUCCUCUGGUGCCAUCUGUGGGCUGGAUUGACGUCUCAAGACUGAAUGUUACCUGAGAAAGAUGCCUUGAAGAGGAAGAAGAGGGAAGAACAAGCAGUCAGGAAUGACUGUUUCUCAGAACGAUGACAUUCAGGGAUGUGGCCAUUGAACUCUCCCAGGAGGAGUGGGAGUGCCUGGACCCUGCUCAGAGGGACGUGAUGUUGGAGACCUGCAGGAACCUGGCCUCCCUGGGAGCAGGUUGCUGUGACCAGCACACUGAAUCCACUCUCCAGGCAACCAGAGGAAGAGAAACGAGUAUUUCCUAUUUCAGUCUUAGAGCAAGAAUCUGCAACAAAUGAGGGGUAUCAGAAAACUAGGUAAGUGAUCAUACAGAAAAAAAGAACUGUUCAUGUUGAAAUUGGUCUACUGCCAUAGGAAAACAGUAAGAAAGGAUAAAUCCAAGAACUAAAAGGAGCUAUUAAAGGGA
Long non-coding RNA from Camelus dromedarius (Arabian camel), 716 nucleotides. RefSeq lists it as uncharacterized. Lineage: Eukaryota; Metazoa; Chordata; Mammalia; Artiodactyla; Camelidae. The transcript is spliced from 4 exons. The record is from RefSeq and is a predicted model, not a curated record.